CCUACGGGUGGCAGCAGUAGGGAAUCUUUCACAAUGGACGAAAGCCUGAUGGAGCAACGCCGCGUGCAUGAUGAAGGCCUUCGGAUUGUAAACUGCUUUUAUAGGCGAUGAAUAUGAUGAUGACUUAUGAAUAAGAAUCGGCUACCUACUUGACAGCAGCCGCGGUCAUACGUCGUAGCCGACAAUUGUCAGGAGAAACUAGGUGUAAAGAGUGGCGUAGGGGGCGUAAGGAGUAUCUGGUGAAAGCUGGUGGCUCAACCAUUCAGACUAUUAGCUAAACUGUUAAGCUAGAGAGCGAGAGGGGUAACUGGAAUUCCUAGUGUAGGAGUGAAAUCCGUAGAUAUUAGAAGGAACACCAAGAGCGUAGGCAGGUUGCUGGGACGGUGCUGACACUAAGGCACGAAAGCGUAGGGAGCAAACGGGAUUAGAUACCCUUGUAGUC
RNAcentral lists this ribosomal RNA (442 nucleotides) under uncultured bacterium. Its description in RNAcentral is "partial 16S ribosomal RNA". It matches the Rfam family "Bacterial small subunit ribosomal RNA", at positions 338 to 795 of the family's 1533-position model. The record is from RNAcentral.